GCGUGUGGAUUUUGGCCGGGCGGUGAUUUAACAGAGCGGUACACUGCAGUCAUCCUGCCCGUUUGCUUCCCUGGGCUUUUGUGCAACAUUAUCUGCAGUUCGCUUGGAUUUGUUGGUUCCGAGCAAGAGGUCAGCCGACUAAAUGCGUGCAGUUGCGGGGGAUUUUAAAGAGGAACGACCUGUAGCCACUGUUUUUCCCACCACCAUUGAUUGUGUAGCCUAUCAUGUAUUGUGAUGCCUUACCUAAACCGACGAUAUAGUGGUAGCUCGUUUGUAUAGGUAUCCUAGCUCAUAUCGAUAGUACAUCCAUACUGGUAUCUUAUUUGAUCUAAACCUAUUGAUAGUCCAUCCACACUGGUAGCUUGCAGUCCUAUUGAUGGCCCACCCACACUGAUACCUGUCGGUGAUCCAAACCUAGUCCAUUCAUACUGGUAGCGUGUUUGAUUUAAAGCUUGGUCAUUCAUACUGGUAGCGUACUUGAUCCAAACCUAUUGAUAGUCCAUUUAUACUGGUAGCGUGCAGCCAUAUUAAUAGCUUAUCCACACGGGUAGUUUGCUUGGUGUCUUAAGCUAGAGUAGCAGCGGUCAUACUGGAGCUGUGGCAUUAGGCCUAUUUACGUAUGUGCGUACUUUGUGUGUGAAACCACCUCCAAGUUGUGUUUGUUUUCUUUAUAUUUUGGUGGUGAGGCUUAUUCUUUUCUUUGUUUUCCUUUUCAUCCUUGCCAUGAUUACUGUGUGUGUGCCCUAUUUGGGGGUUGAAAUAUUUGCUUGAAGAUUAUGAUUUCAAUGGUUUGCCUUUGUUUUGUAGUGGGUACCCUAUACUGAAUACGGCUUAAUACUACAACAGUAUUGAUUAGAGUACAUCUAUCUAUUCAUCCAGCUUUUAUACCAUGACAAACUACGUCAAAAAAUAAAAGUGCUUU
Molecule: long non-coding RNA, 922 nt
Organism: Alosa alosa (allis shad)
Lineage: Eukaryota; Metazoa; Chordata; Actinopteri; Clupeiformes; Clupeidae
Exons: 4
Source: RefSeq, a predicted model, not a curated record